Molecule: ribosomal RNA, 496 nt
Filed under: uncultured bacterium
Lineage: Bacteria
Description: partial 16S ribosomal RNA
Rfam family: Bacterial small subunit ribosomal RNA
Source: RNAcentral
AUGCACGCUGGCGGCGUGCCUCAUACAUGCAAGUCGCGCGAACAGACGAGGAGCUUGCUCCUCUGACGUUAGCGGCGGACGGGUGAGUAACACGUGGAUAACCUACCUAUAAGACUGGGAUAACUUCGGGAAACCGGAGCUAAUACCGGAUAAUAUAUUGAACCGCAUGGUUCAAUAGUGAAAGACGGUUUUGCUGUCACUUAUAGAUGGAUCCGCGCCGCAUUAGCUAGUUGGUAAGGUAACGGCUUACCAAGGCAACGAUGCGUAGCCGACCUGAGAGGGUGAUCGGCCACACUGGAACUGAGACACGGUCCAGACUCCUACGGGAGGCAGCAGUAGGGAAUCUUCCGCAAUGGGCGAAAGUCUGACGGAGCAACGCCGCGUGAGUGAUGAAGGUCUUCGGAUCGUAAAACUCUGUUAUUAGGGAAGAACAAAUGUGUAAGUAACUAUGCACGUCUUGACGGUACCUAAUCAGAAAGCCACGGCUAACUACGUG